RNAcentral lists this long non-coding RNA (286 nucleotides) under Lathyrus oleraceus (garden pea). Its description in RNAcentral is "Pisum sativum (pea) long non-coding RNA (PSAT_LNC003204)". Lineage: Eukaryota; Viridiplantae; Streptophyta; Magnoliopsida; Fabales; Fabaceae. The record is from RNAcentral.
CUUCUCAUAGGCUAAGGAUUAUAAUUUUUCAAUAACAAGUAUUUUUAUUUUGACUCAAAAGGGAUUGUUAAAGGAUCACACUCUCACAAAGCUUGCCUUUAUUUGGCCAAGUAGUUUUCUUUUCAAUUAAGACAUAGUGUCAACCAAUAGCAAUAAUUAUGCAAUAUCAACUAAGUUAAAUGCAUGCCUACACUCAAUAUAUCUAUGUAAAACAUGAGGAUUCACACAACUCACUUAGUUAGGUUUUGUAUGAUUCUAAUUUCAACCAACAUUUUUACACAAAACA